UCGUCAGCUCGUGUCGUGAGAUGUUGGGUUAAGUCCCGCAACGAGCGCAACCCUCGUUCUAUGUUGCCAGCACGUAGUGGUGGGGACUCAUAGGAGACUGCCGGGGUCAACUCGGAGGAAGGUGGGGAUGACGUCAAAUCAUCAUGCCCCUUAUGUCUUGGGCUUCACGCAUGCUACAAUGGCCAGUACAAAGGGCUGCGAUACCGCAAGGUGGAGCGAAUCCCAAAAAACUGGUCUCAGUUCGGAUUGGGGUCUGCAACUCGACCCCAUGAAGUCGGAGUCGCUAGUAAUCGCAGAUCAGCAACGCUGCGGUGAAUACGUUCCCGGGCCUUGUACACACCGCCCGUCAAGUCACGAAAGUCGGUAACACCCGAAGCCGGUGGCCUAACCCUUUGGGGAGGAGCCGUCGAAGGUGGGACUGGCGAUUGGGACUAAGUCGUAACAAGGUAGCCGUACCGGAAGGUGCGGCUGGAUCACCUCCUUUCUAAGGAGCACUGGCACCUUGAGCUUGUUGUGGUCCUUUUUUGGGGUUGCGGCGGGUUCGUUUUGGUGUCCAGGUGGCCUGUCCAUGGCUGUUCGUGGUUGUGGGGGUUGCUCAAGGGUGGAACAUCGAUUAGUUGGCGUUGCUCGCUGUGGUGGCGGUCGUUGGUACUGGCUUUUCCUUUGGGGAGGGUUGUGGAAGGCGGCGCAUCGGGUGGGUGGUGUUUGGCACGCUGUUGGGUCCUGAAGGCUCGGGCGUUGUGCUCGGUUCUUCAGUGUGGCCCUGCCUUGUUGGUCGUACCGCUUGUGUCCUGUGGUGGAUGUGGGUUGGCGGCCGUGUGUGGGUGGGGUCCGCCCGUAUUUUGAGAACUACACAGUGGACGCGAGCAUCUUUGUGGCCAAGUUUUUAAGGGCGCACGGUGGAUGCCUUGGUACCAGGAACCGAAGAAGGACGUAGGAAUCUGCGAUAAGCCACGGGGAGUCGAUAACCAGACUGUGAUCCGUGGAUUUCCGAAUGGGGAAACCCGG
Molecule: small RNA, 1008 nt
Filed under: uncultured Intrasporangiaceae bacterium
Lineage: Bacteria; Bacillati; Actinomycetota; Actinomycetes; Micrococcales; Intrasporangiaceae
Description: bacterial SSU rRNA
Rfam family: Bacterial small subunit ribosomal RNA (bases 1-484)
Source: RNAcentral